AGCCCAAUGAGGAAGAAUUCCCAUAGAUAGGAAGUGCCGUAUGACAUUUUAAUCAGCAGCGACAACUCGCUAAGGAAUGUCUCCGUCUUCCCAUCCGCCAAUCCUCGGCCCCUCUGAUUCUUGUUCUUAGGUGCUUUGUGUUUGGCCGGGAAAUCCGGGUCUUCCUCUUGGCUUGUUAUCCUGUGUGAGAGAUUUGAAACGGGUCUCUGAGGGUU
This is a small nucleolar RNA of Hibiscus syriacus, 215 nucleotides long. RefSeq annotates it as small nucleolar RNA Z112. The transcript has a single exon. NCBI's taxonomy places the organism in Eukaryota, Viridiplantae, Streptophyta, Magnoliopsida, Malvales, Malvaceae. The record is from RefSeq and is a predicted model, not a curated record.